This 603-nucleotide unclassified non-coding RNA is filed under the name Hevea brasiliensis (rubber tree). Lineage: Eukaryota; Viridiplantae; Streptophyta; Magnoliopsida; Malpighiales; Euphorbiaceae. The record is from RNAcentral.
AUGCACACUCCUCCAUGUGAAAUAUUCAUCUUCAUUGGAGCUUUUUGGUAGUAGUCGUGACCAACAGCCAUCAGCUGUCGGCUCGUUGGUAAGGCGAGAACUUCACGCCCGAUUUCUGGUGGCACACCCCACACACAAGCACCGCCCGACGAAGGGGGGACGGGGAAAGCUACAGGCCCAAAACCUUCGACCCUUCUUUCUAAAUGGAGGAAAGAAGAAAACCUCAUCUUGUCAUUUCGUCGUUGCUCAUUCCCGUUAGGCCGAAGUGUUUGGCGUUUCCUUCUCCGCGCCCGCUCACGCUUCGCUGACCUAUCGCGUGGUAAAGAAAAGAAAGUACAAAAGAAUAGUAAACAGAGCACACCGCAGAAAGAUUCUAAAAGAUUCUAAAUAUGAGAAGUCCCCCUUGGAUUCGAGAAGAAGGAAAUGAAGAAGGGGAACGAAACAAAAUAAGGCGUUUCUAGCUCUAGUUUCGGGUGAGCUUCUCCCAAUUAUGUCUGGUAAUAGAAUAGGGCGGCUUGCUCUGACCAAGACUCCACUUUUUGCUCCGUCCAUGGAGCGUAUGAAUUUCCUGGAAUGUAGAUAGACCAAAAGAGGGAAUAAAGA